GAUGAACGCUGGCGGCGUGCCUAAUACAUGCAAGUCGAGCGAACAGACGAGGAGCUUGCCCCUCUGACGUUAGCGGCGGACGGGUGAGUAACACGUGGAUAACCUACCUAUAAGACUGGGAUAACUUCGGGAAACCGGAGCUAAUACCGGACAAUAUAUUGAACCGCAUGGUUCAAUAGUGAAAGACGGUUUUGCUGUCCCUUGUUGAUGGAUCCGCGCCGCAUUAGCUAGUUGGUAAGGUAACGGCUUACCAAGGCAACGAUGCGUAGCCGACCUGAGAGGGUGAUCGGCCACACUGGAACUGAGACACGGUCCAGACUCCUACGGGAGGCAGCAGUAGGGAAUCUUGCGCAAUGGGCGAAAGCCUGACGGAGCAACGCCGCGUGAGUGAUGAAGGUCUUCGGAUCGUAAAACUCUGUUAUUAGGGAAGAACAAAUGUGUAAGAAUCUAUGGCCGUCUUGACGGUACCUAAUCAGAAAGCCACGGCUAACUACGUG
Molecule: ribosomal RNA, 497 nt
Filed under: uncultured bacterium
Lineage: Bacteria
Description: partial 16S ribosomal RNA
Rfam family: Bacterial small subunit ribosomal RNA
Source: RNAcentral